GACGAACGCUGGCGGCGUGCCUAACACAUGCAAGUCGAACGGAGAAUUAGCAAUAAUUCUUAGUGGCGAACGGGUGAGUAACGCGUAGACAACCUACCCUUUAGAUGGGGACAACACCGCGAAAGUGGUGCUAAUACCGAAUAUUGCUUGAGAAGCGCAUGCUUUUCAAACUAAAGAUGGCCUCUAUUUAUAAGCUAUCGCUAAAGAAUGGGUCUGCGUCUGAUUAGCUAGUUGGUGAGAUAAAAGCUCACCAAGGCAACGAUCAGUAGCCGGUCUGAGAGCAUAACCGGCCACAAUGGGACUGAGACACGGCCCAGACUCCUACGGGAGGCAGCAGUGGGGAAUCUUCCGCAAUGGACGAAAGUCUGACGGAGCAACGCCGCGUGAGCGAUGAAGGUUUUCGGAUCGUAAAACUCUGUUGUUAAGGACGAAUGUAUAGAUUGUGAAUAAUGGUUUAUAAUGACGGUACUUAACGAGGAAGCCACGGCUAACUACGUGCCAGCAGCCGCCGUAA
RNAcentral lists this ribosomal RNA (514 nucleotides) under uncultured bacterium. RNAcentral's name for it is "partial 16S ribosomal RNA". It matches the Rfam family "Bacterial small subunit ribosomal RNA", at positions 28 to 523 of the family's 1533-position model. The record is from RNAcentral.